CUCUUAUCAAGAGUGGUGGAGGGAUAGGCCCGAUGAAACCCGGCAACAUUCAACUACAGUUGAAAAUGUGCUAAUUCCUACAGAAUUUUCUGAAAGAUAAGAG
Molecule: non-coding RNA, 103 nt
Filed under: Clostridium pasteurianum
Lineage: Bacteria; Bacillati; Bacillota; Clostridia; Eubacteriales; Clostridiaceae
Also listed under: 1 other name
Description: SAM-I sequence
Rfam family: SAM riboswitch aptamer (S box leader)
About the family: The SAM riboswitch is found upstream of a number of genes which code for proteins involved in methionine or cysteine biosynthesis in Gram-positive bacteria. The SAM riboswitch acts at the level of transcription termination control. The predicted structure consists of a complex stem-loop region followed by a single stem loop terminator region.
Source: RNAcentral